Molecule: long non-coding RNA, 1225 nt
Filed under: Aedes aegypti (yellow fever mosquito)
Lineage: Eukaryota; Metazoa; Arthropoda; Insecta; Diptera; Culicidae
Description: lncRNA AAEL024146
Source: RNAcentral
AUUGUGGUGAUUUCGAAAUGUCAAACUAUUGAUUGUUGUGAAAUGGAUGCAACUGAGAUGGUGAUGAUCAUGAGGUAAGUGCGAUGAAAUUUUAUCUGAGAAUUGUUACUUUGCCGGCCAGUGAAAUAUCCCCGUAGAUUGACGGCCAAAAUCAACCCGGAAAAUGGAUUUUCACUAGAGAGGUAUAAAUUCUCAAAUUGAAGUCCAUCACAUUUCAGUAAUUAAUUAUAACAUUGAAGAGUGAGGUUAUGUUCUAUGCCUCUCAAACAAAUUUUAUGAUAGAAUUUCUUUAAUUAUUGCUAGUCUUUGGUAUAAUUUUGUGGGUUCAUUUGAAUUCAGUUUUGAAAAAUUUUCUCCUUAAUAUUCCUACCAAUUUCUAUCCUACAAUAAAUUAAAUUGAUAAAAAUUACAUAAUAAAACUCAUAACAAUUCAACUAAAUUUACAACACAUGCACAAAAACUAAAAUAAAGAAAUGGCCAUCAUGCAAAAUAUUUACAAAAUUUACAAGAGAAAAAUCUCAUUUUUGGUUUAAUUAACGAGUAUUUGGUUUAGGAAGUCCUCCUAGACAAAGCUAUUAACAGGAAACACUUCACAACCAAAACUCUCACAACACAAAUUUACACGCAAUCAAUGCUUCUUCUUUUAGGUACUACGACCAUUCAUCUUUAAUGGCUUCAUUCAGCUUUAACACUGCACCUGAUAAAACGAUUGUUUACAAUCAGGACAGUUGCCGAUAAUGAAGGCUAGUAGACGUCCUUCUGUCUCAUCACCACAAUGGGAAUCUUCUUACAAUCACUGCCUCCGCAGCAUUGAGACAAGACGUCGAAGAGGUCAAGCAUCCGAAGAGCAUCGCGUACGAAGACUGGAUGGAAUAGUGGCUCUAGAAGAACUAUUAACAGAGGAACUCUGUCCGUGCUGAGACGAACUUCUCUGGAUUCGAGUUAUGCAACACUCACAUGAUCUCACUUUCGGUGUUUCAACUCCACUGUGACGAAAAUGCUCAUCAUAUCAAUCACCACUUCUGAAUGGGUGUUGUCGCGCAACGUAAUUUGCAAUGAAAUUUGAAAUUAAAAAGAACUAAUUACGAGCUAAGAGUAUCACAGUGCAUAAUUUGAUAACCUAGUAAGUUGAAAAUGCCUAAAAAAUUCGAAAAUCUAGAAAAUUUGAAAAUUCUAAUUAUACAGAUAAUCACACAUAACUCAUUGUAAAUAAAAUCUAUGGUUC